UGUUGAUUGGUGGUACCUGAAGAGAGGUUUUCCGGGUUUCUGUUUCUUUAAUGAGGAUGAAACACACCUGGUUAACCUCUUUUCCAGUAUCAGUUCC
This 97-nucleotide microRNA precursor is filed under the name Octodon degus (degu). The record is from RNAcentral. Lineage: Eukaryota; Metazoa; Chordata; Mammalia; Rodentia; Octodontidae.